This is a long non-coding RNA of Mustela erminea (ermine), 2392 nucleotides long. RefSeq lists it as uncharacterized. The record is from RefSeq and is a predicted model, not a curated record. NCBI's taxonomy places the organism in Eukaryota, Metazoa, Chordata, Mammalia, Carnivora, Mustelidae. The transcript is spliced from 2 exons.
CCUCCCCAGCACUGUCCUGGGAGGUCCAGACCGCCCUUUAAGCCCCCACCUCCCUGCAGCUUCAGCCACAUAGGCCGUCUCUACCCACCCAGCCCUGACCUCCAGCUGAAGAGACUCCAGCAAGUCAAGGCUCUGGUCGGUAUGGAGGCUUUGCCACAGCUGGGUCCCGCACAGAGGGUCCCCACCCCACUCUCUGCAGAGGCAGUUCAGCCCCAGGUGCCGUGGGGAGAGGACACUCCAAGGGACCAUCCAAUGCCAAAGCAGCUGCACGCUGUCACCCGCCCUGGCACCUGCGGCAGCCUCUCCCUGACUGCUCAGGAAUGCAGUGGGAUGGACCCUGCUGCUCCAGGCCACCAGCAGAGGCAGGGGGGCACGGUGCCGUGUGGGGACGGGCUGCUCCUUCCCCAGUGCGGGUUGGCCCUGCUGAAGGGGUGGGCAGAGCCCCUCUUAUGCCCCUCAUUCUCCCACGCAGCCACUCAGUUACAGAACCGAGCGUUGGCCCAGAACACAGCUCUGAUCAUGGUGGACGCCCUGCGUUCGGGCUUUACCGAGUGUCCGCGCUGAACCAGGCAGGUCGGGAGGAAGACAGCAUGCUCUGGAAACAUCUGUCCGAGACCUUUCUUUUGGAGCUCUAGUCUUCAUUUUUAAAGGAUGGUUGAAGAUUAGGGACACCGUUUAAUAUUUCUGGUUUUCUAUACUUGGGGGCACUGGGCUCUGCCUGCUACUGUGCCAUGUCUGUACCUCAUUUAGGAUGGAGACUAUUAUUUCAAUGUUUUGAUUUGAAAUUCUAGUAAAAAUAAGUGCUUUGAAACCCUGUCAUCCUAAACUAGAGGCCAAGAGGGAGAACUGAAACCUCUUCCCUUGUAUUUCUCUCCCCUCGGCCUGGGCACCUGGCACUGCUUCUGCCCCGGCCCAGAGGCCAGGUGGGGGGAGCCGAAUGGGCAGCAAGGGAUCCUGGGGAUGUCCCUUCACCACCCCCUUUCUGAAGCUCAGCCCCUCAGCCCAACCGGGCAGUACAGUGGGGAGCACCCCUGGGACAUCGGAGGCCUGGCCCCUCCGAUGUCCAACCAUGGAUUGACCCAGCAGUUGUGCUCCUGUCCCCAGCAUGACUUGCUCUUCAGAGACACAGGGUCCGCUCCCUAAGGGGUGGAGGAGCGCUUCCAUUCUGGAGUCCUUGGCUCUGGGGACAGCUGACUGGCAGGUAAGCAAGGCUGCUGCUGGUUUUUUUUUAAUAAACCUGUUAACACCCUACCAGUUCUGUGCUAGGUGGCCUGGCUGGGGGGUAGCAGGCUUGCUCAGUGGCCCCCAUGUUCUAGGAAGGUCUCAGCGAGCCAGGUACCUCACAAGGAACGAGCCUGCUAAAGGAUUAGUGCUAGCGGGGGGGCCCCAAACCACCCCUGUGAAGUGCUUGGUUCCGGACAACCAGGAAAGGCUGAGUGUGGUUCAGGGUCAGACUGACGCACCACCCAAGGGAGUGCUCUCACUGAGCCAAGGGACCUAUGGUGACCAGCGGCCCCUCCUGUCCCGGGCCCUCUGUGGGGAGCACACCGUCAUUUUGGGAAGCAGGUUUAUUCUCAAUUUCUCACACUGCUUCUGGGGGGCAACUCAGCCCUCCAUUUCUGCUUAACGUAAGGACGACAGCAGGGGUUGUUGAACUGCUAAGGCCAGAAAGGCAUUCUAGGGGAGCAGAGAUCAGGACCUUUGCCACCCAGAAAGGUACAAGACUGCCAGGCAGACAGGUCUUUGUGCUGUCUCCAUGGUGAUGUAACUGUGCCCUACUCCAGAUGCCUCUUUCCCAAAGCAGGUGUUACCUGACCCUGGCCUCACCCAGGCCCAUCCUUACAGUGAAUCGGAUUAGGAGUGCAGGCCUAACCUCAGCCCGCAGGGUGACAGGCCAGAUGCACAGCGGGGUCCCGCACACGGCCGGGGAGCUGGGCUUGGGGCCACCAUCUCGGGACCGUGGCGAGCACGCAGCCUGGUGGCUGCACGGUGGCGCCACAGCUUGGUUUCCAGGCACACGCGGGAAAGGUGCCAGCAGCAGGGUCUCCCACAGCCGCCCCAGGACAGCGACCCCCCAGGACAGUGAUGAGGUGAGUGGGUAGGAGGGGGGAAGAGACCAGCUUGCAAAGAAUACCCCUUGGGUGACACCAUUUCUCAUUUUAAAAAACAUUAAAUUCAGAAGCACACAGGAAUAUAAAAGGAAUAAUCCAUUACGUUUUAUUUUGAGUAUGUCCUGGAUUCUUACCCUGCCCUUUUACAUCAAGAGUAUUAACAUUUUGGAAGAAUCUCAACAGAUCUAGAGAAUUAUCAUCAUUGGUCCCAGGAUACAGAAACUGUGACCUCCGAGAAUUCUGGAAAACUCCAGGUCAGCCAUGUGCUGAGGGGAUCAAUG